AAUCCAUAGGUUAAUGAGGCGAACCGGGGGAACUGAAACAUCUAAGUACCCCGAGGAAAAGAAAUCAACCGAGAUUCCCCCAGUAGCGGCGAGCGAACGGGGAGGAGCCCAGAGCCUGAAUCAGCAUGUGUGUUAGUGGAAGCGUCUGGAAAGGCGCGCGAUACAGGGUGACAGCCCCGUACACAAAAGCGCAUGUGCUGUGAGCUCGAUGAGUAGGGCGGGACACGUGGUAUCCUGUCUGAAUAUGGGGGGACCAUCCUCCAAGGCUAAAUACUCCUGACUGACCGAUAGUGAACCAGUACCGUGAGGGAAAGGCGAAAAGAACCCCGGCGAGGGGAGUGAAAAAGAACCUGAAACCGUGUACGUACAAGCAGUGGGAGCACAGGUUUACCUGUGUGACUGCGUACCUUUU
This 412-nucleotide ribosomal RNA is filed under the name Salmonella enterica subsp. enterica serovar Infantis. RNAcentral's name for it is "partial 23S ribosomal RNA". It matches the Rfam family "Bacterial large subunit ribosomal RNA", at positions 161 to 609 of the family's 2925-position model. Lineage: Bacteria; Pseudomonadati; Pseudomonadota; Gammaproteobacteria; Enterobacterales; Enterobacteriaceae. RNAcentral also lists the same sequence under 7 other names. The record is from RNAcentral.